CCGGUGGUAGUUUAAUUUAAACCGCGGGCCUGUGGAGCCCGAAAUCUACAGCGUAGUCACCGGC
Molecule: transfer RNA, 64 nt
Filed under: Ellobium chinense
Lineage: Eukaryota; Metazoa; Mollusca; Gastropoda; Ellobiida; Ellobiidae
Description: tRNA-His
Source: RNAcentral